Non-coding RNA from Camelina sativa (false flax), 107 nucleotides. The record is from RefSeq and is a predicted model, not a curated record. NCBI's taxonomy places the organism in Eukaryota, Viridiplantae, Streptophyta, Magnoliopsida, Brassicales, Brassicaceae.
CAAGGCGAGAUGCUUACUAAGCCAUUUCUUGAGCUCUGCAAGACCAUCUUGCCUGUUAUAGAUAAGUUUGGAGCUGCUAUGACUCUCGUGAAAUCUGACAUUGGAGG